Molecule: ribosomal RNA, 465 nt
Filed under: uncultured bacterium
Lineage: Bacteria
Description: partial 16S ribosomal RNA
Rfam family: Bacterial small subunit ribosomal RNA
Source: RNAcentral
GACGAACGCUGGCGGCGUGCUUAACACAUGCAAGUCGAACGGAAAGGCCCUGCUUGCAGGGUACUCGAGUGGCGAACGGGCGAGUAACACGUGGGUGAUCUGCCCUGCACUUCGGGAUAAGCCUGGGAAACUGGGUCUAAUACCGGACAGGAGCCAUUUUUAGUGUGAUGGUUGGAAAGUUUUUUCGGUGUAGGAUGAGCUCGCGGCCUAUCAGCUUGUUGGUGGGGUAAUGGCCUACCAAGGCGGCGACGGGUAGCCGGCCUGGGAGGGUGGACGGCCACAUUGGGACUGAGAUACGGCCCAGACUCCUACGGGAGGCAGCAGUGGGGAAUAUUGCACAAUGGGCGCAAGCCUGAUGCAGCGACGCCGCGUGGGGGAGGACGGCCUUCGGGUUGGAAUCUCAUUUCGCUAGGGACGAAGCUUUUUGUGACGGUACCUAGAUAAGAAGCACCGGCUAACUACGUG